Molecule: unclassified non-coding RNA, 340 nt
Filed under: Hevea brasiliensis (rubber tree)
Lineage: Eukaryota; Viridiplantae; Streptophyta; Magnoliopsida; Malpighiales; Euphorbiaceae
Source: RNAcentral
UUUGCCCCUUAAACUGCAGUCCAGGAACCUAGUAUUAACAGAGUACAUAAGAACUAGAACUCUAAACUAAUUUGACUAGAGGUCAUUAUGUGGUAAGUUAAGGAGAUGCAGGGUGAUUAACCUACCCACUCUAAUAUCUAUUGUAGAGGAGUUUUCACCAUUGGUCUCCACUAUCCACCGACAGUGAACCUGAUGCACAGCAGAAAUAUAAUUACAUUAUAGUGUAAAGAACAAUAUCACAGGAGAAAUAUCAACUAAUAAGUUUCUCUUCCAAGUGUAUCAAUCAAUAAAUUCUCUCAUCAAUUAGAACUCUGUUCUGAUAAAAGUAAGGAAUUAUUUG